Triticum aestivum (bread wheat) is the source of this 1491-nucleotide long non-coding RNA. RefSeq lists it as uncharacterized. Lineage: Eukaryota; Viridiplantae; Streptophyta; Magnoliopsida; Poales; Poaceae. The record is from RefSeq and is a predicted model, not a curated record. The transcript is spliced from 7 exons.
UCCAGCACCUCUCCCUUGUUCCCUCAGUCACGGGCACACCCUUCCCCCUUAGUCUCUUGAUCCAGAUCCAGAUCCAGAUCCAAUUCCGCUGCCUCCCUCACCGACCGCCGGCGCCUCCUUCGCCGAUCGCCGUCGCCGACCCCCGAGCCCCAACCCUUCGCUCCCUCUUCUCCCAUGGCCUCACCUCCUACCCGGACCCUCCCCUCGAGGUCGUCUGGUUCUUCUCCGUGCUCCCCGUGGCUAGGGUUUCGGGGGCGGCGCUCACCACUUCAACACCGCCGGCGACCACAACCACAACCACAACCACGGCCUCCACCUCCACUCCCUAGACAGAGAUCCACUCGAUUCCUCUCCAAUCCCGCUGGCUGGAGAUCCACUCGAGCUCCCCCAUGAUUCAUCUCCAAUCCCGCCGCCGUCCCCGGCUCCUCACCACAAGCUCCAGCAAGCCCGCCUUCCCCGCGCCCCUCGGCAGCGGCCGGCGCGCCCUGCGGCUCGCGAGGCGACGAGCUCCGCAGCGCCUCCGACGACUGCGCCCGGAGGCCGCUGCCGUCCUCCCCGACAAGGCCGCUGCCGUCCUGGCGGCGUGCCUAGGCCCCGCGGCGGCGGACCAGCCCGGAUCCGUCGAGGGAUACACCAUCGCCGGUUAGGGAGCAGGAUCUGGCGCUAGGGUUCAAGGUCAACGCCAAGGGCACUGCUGCUGCACGCCUUCAUCAGCGUCAACACCUUCAGUGAGACUGGUGCUGGGAAGCAUGUCCCCCGUGCUGUUUUCGUUGAUCUUGAGCUCACUGUGAUUGAUGAGGACGAGCAGUACCUGGGGAAGAUGAAGCAGCCGCACCUGGACAACAUCCAGUUCCAGAAGACAAGGUGGUGAACCCGCUGUUCUAGAAGAGGCCGAAGCAGUUCGGCAUCGGUGGCGCCCUGCUGCCAAAGAAGGACCUCCACCGGUUCGUCAAGUGGGCCAAGGUCGUGCGCAUCCAGCGCCAGCGCCGCAUCCUCAAAUAGCACCUCAAGGUGCCCCCGGCGCUCCAUGAGUUCACCCACACCCUCGACAAGAACCUCGAGGCCACAGUUGCCCAGGUUCUACUACAAGAAGAGGUCUGCAGUCCACAACAGAACUGGCAAGGAUGAUAGCAGCCCCAAGAUCCAACCGCCCAGCUCGCCCGUGAGCAGACAGAGCCUGUCAACCUCUGCCAUCCCCACCUAUCAUGCUGGUCUAUACAAGUGCCAUCUAUGUCUGGCAACAUAAGCCUCUUGUCAUGUCAUGUAUCUAUUAUCACGUUAGAUGUUUUAUUAAGAGUUCCUAGGUCGAAGAAAUUCGAAGAAGCUCGAAGCCCCUGUCAGCGACUUGCUUUAUAUGUUAUUGAACUUGUAAUGCAUAAUUUUCUUGGAAUUUUGAUGUAAGGCUGAUCUUGGGAAUUGGGUGUAUAUUUACUUGCUAUACUUGUUAUUCAAAUGCUGGUUGUACUUGUUAUACAAAUGCUUGGAAUUUAA